CCUACGGGUGGCAGCAGUGGGGAAUAUUGCACAAUGGGCGAAAGCCUGACGCAGCGACGCCGCGUGAAGGAUGAAGGUCUUCGGAUCGGAAACCUCUUUCAGCAGAGAAGAACGGUCACUGUGCUAAUCAGCAGUGAAUUGACGGUACCUGCAAAGGAAGCACCGGCUAACCCCGUGCCAGCAGCCUCGGUAAUACGGAGGGUGCGAGCGUUAAUCGGAAUUACUGGGCGUAAAGCGCUCGUCGGCGGUAUGUCAAGUCAAGGGUGAAAUCCCCGCGCUCAACGUGGGAACUGCCUUUGAAACUGGCAAACUGGAGUGUGUGAGAGGAUAGUGGAAUUCCAGGUGUAGGAGUGAAAUCCGUAGAUAUCUGGAGGAACAUCAGUGGCGAAGGCGACUAUCUGGCACAUAACUGACGCUGAGGAGCGAAAGCGUGGGUAGCAAACAGGAUUAGAUACCCUAGUAGUC
Molecule: ribosomal RNA, 465 nt
Filed under: uncultured bacterium
Lineage: Bacteria
Description: partial 16S ribosomal RNA
Rfam family: Bacterial small subunit ribosomal RNA
Source: RNAcentral